RNAcentral lists this long non-coding RNA (5965 nucleotides) under Callithrix jacchus (white-tufted-ear marmoset). RNAcentral describes it as "lncRNA (ENSCJAG00000081153.1)". Lineage: Eukaryota; Metazoa; Chordata; Mammalia; Primates; Cebidae. The record is from RNAcentral.
CCAUUUGGUGGGGAAGGAUACAAUGUUAAAUUGUCCUUGGCUGCCUCUGGGUGGAUGGAGCCUGUUGAAACUCUAGUGUGUCUAAGUUAAGCCGACAUCUGGUUAGACAUGAAGAUAUCUGAGCCUUUUCCUGGACAGGUCAGGGAGAUUCCUAGGCACUGGCUUUUUUUUUUUUUUUUUUUUUUUGAGACGGAGUUUCGCUCUUAUUACCCAGACUGGAGUGCAAUGGCGCGAUCUCGGCUCACCGCAACCUCCGCCUUCUGGGUUCAGGCAAUUCUCCUGCCUCACCCUCCCGAGUAGCUGGGACUACAGGCACGCGCCACCGUGCCCAGCUAAUUUUUGUAUUUUUAGUAGAGACGGGGUUUCACCAUGUUAACCAGGAUGGUCUCGAUCUCUUAACCUCGUGAUCCAUCCGCCUCGGCUUCCCAAAGUGCUGGGAUUACAGGCUUGAGUCACCGCGCCCGGCCUGGCACUGGCUUUUAAAAGGAGAGAUCCCGGCUGGGCUUGGUGGCUCACACCUGUAAUCCCAGCACUUUGGGAGGCUGAGGCGGGCGCAUCACCUGAGGUCAGGAGUUCAAGGCCAGCCUGUCCAACAUGGUGAAACCCCAUCUCUACUAAAACUACAAAAAUUGGCUGGGUAUGAUGGUGUGGGCUUGUCAUCCCAACUACUCGGGAGGCUGAGGCAGGAGACUGGCUUGAACCUUGGAGGCGGAGGUUGCAGUGAGCCAAGAUCACGACACUACACUCCAGCCUGGGUGACAGAGCGAGACUACAUCUCAAGAAAAAAAAAAAGGAGAGAUCCCUAUAACUGCAGGUCGUCUGAGGAGGCCUGAGAAACUCAGCGCUUAAGUAUCAAAUACUUUCAAGAUGGGCUGUCAGAACUUCUAGAAGAAGUUUUGUGUCUUCUAGAAGACACAAAAGCUGAGAAAGUUGGAAGACACCAGAGUUGGGGCCAUAUUUUAUGUACCUAUUCUACUCCAUUCCAUUCCAUCGUGUCUUGCCAUAAGCACGCUGCAGAUGAGAACUAUACAGAAGAAGAGCAUGCGGCGAACACAGCCUGGACAACCUCGCAAAGAGCGUGGGGCGGGCGUCAGUCCUUUGAGGAAGGUGCUGGAGCACAGGGACACUUGGCAGAGAUUAGCAGCAUUGAGAGCUCGAGGGCCAUCUCAUCGGUAAUGGACUGUGUUUUGGAAGAGACAGGCAAAGUCCCGCUUGACCAGAACUGUUCGGAUAUUCCAAAACAAAACGAACUCAUAUAAACAUACUAAGGCAUACUGACAUUUGACCACCUCCCCCGCACGUGGCUUUGUAGAGUUGGGGUUUCACCAUGUUGGCCAGGCUGGUCUCGAACUCCUGACCUCAACUGAUAUGCGCACCUCGGCCUCAAAGCGCUGGGAGUACAGACAUGAACUACCAUGCCCAGACUGCAAGAUGUUUUAAUUUCUCCUUUGUUCUCACCCUCCACAAUGGAUGGGGGCCAGGUACGUUGAUUUAGUUCCUGGAGUCUCUUUAUCACUCCAUCUGCCUCUUCCCUCACUCAAGCCUUGGCUGCAGCAAUAACCCCCAACAGCUCAACGGACCAUGCUCCAUACUGUGGCCAGAGCUUUCUUUUUCAAGCUUAACUCCAAUUGCCUUAAUGUCCUCUUUUGAAAAACACUCUUAGGGACUCCCUGUUGCCUGUUGAAUAAAGUCUAAAUUUCUUGUGAUGCCACUCACCUCUCCCCACUGUCUGGUCCCAGCCUACCUUUCCUCGCCCUCCUCAGUCUUCCAAAGCCAGCUCCAAUUUAUCUGACAUGCUCCCCGCCCAUACCUUUCCUGUCACUCUUCCUAAUUCCUGGCCAACUCUUAUCUUCCAGAAGCUACCAGUGAAAUCCUACCCAUUUCUCAAACCCUGGAAAUCUAUGUCAAUUCUGGUGUCUCUCUUCAUCAGACCAUAACCUUUGGCUGAGCGCGGUGGCUCAUGCCUGCAAUCCCAGAACUUUGGGAGGCUGGGGUAUGUGGAUCAUUUGAGGUCAGGAGUUUGAGACCAGCCUGGCCAACAUGGUGAAAUCCCGCCUCUACUAAUACUACAAAAAUUAGCCAGGCAUGGUAGUGGACACCUGUAAUCCCAGAUACUCAGGAGGCUGAGGCAGGAGAAUUGCUUGAACCUGGGAGGUGGAGAUUGCAGUGAGCUGAGAUCGCACCACUGUACUCCAGCCUGGGUAACAGAGCAAGACUCUUUCUAAAAAAAAAAAAAAAAAAAAAAAAAGGAUUCUAACCUUCUACAAAAGAGGAACAGUGUUUUACUUAUCUCUACACACUCCCCGAUACCUUCCACACAUUGGAGAAGCAAGACGUACCAUAAGUCAAGUGAAAAAUUAAAAUGCAGUAACUUCUGAACCAGGCACUAUACUGGGCAUUUUGUGGGCAUUAUCUCACUUAAUCUGCCUUGUUACACAGAUGGGUAUGUAGACUCUAAAAGGCCAAAGGAGCAGCCCACAGCCAUCUACACCAACAGGGGUGGAAUUAGGAUUUGCACUCAGGUCGGCUCCCAAAAUUCCAUUUUGGUGGGUCUGAAGCAUCCCCCCUGCAAAAGAAAGACACCUGGCUAUCUCACUCCAGGGAAACCAAGGGAAGCCCUCUCUCCUCCCAAGGAGUUUAACUAUCGCCCCCCUGCUCGUUCAUGACACAGGUGUGGGAACUGGAUUCACAGUGAUGGCAGGCGGGCGUCAUGUUCCGAUGCUAUUUCAGGAGAUGUCUCAUUCCUCCCGGCCAAACUCACUUUUGUGAAAUGGGGUUGGAGCUGCUACAGGCCAGUUCAAGGGCAAGAGGGAAAUAAAUGGGCCAUAACUUGAAUAACCCCCAGAUACCCAGUCAACCCUAUUUUGCUCAUCCAUUGCUUAAUACUAUUUUGCAGUUAUUGUUGGCUACAAGGCCUGGAUGAAAAGCCACCACGAGAGGGCAGUAUUUCUCCACCCUGGAUCUGAGCUAAAUAAAUCUGGACUCACUCUGGUCCUUGAUAGGUUACUCAACAGAAAGGGGCUUUUGGUGGGAAUUCUGGCAAAUGAAAGAAACACAUCAGAUCACUCUCCUGCCUUCUAGCCUGGAGUUGUGAAGCAGCCUGUAUUGGGGAUUGAAAGGUGUUUACUUAAAAAAAAAUCUUUCUGGAGAAGAAAGAUGAAUCGUGGUUAUAUAAUCAUUUCUUUGGAUUCCUUGACUAAACAAGACAAUGUUUCCAUCUGUCUGCUACUAGAAGGGCAGGGAUAUGCAGAAAGGAGGUGCCUCGCACAUGGUAACCUCUUCUAAGUAUUUAUUCCCUGAUGGAGAAGCAUUCCUGCAUAAAGCUUGACUUGGAGUGGGAAGCACUGAUCAAUUUCUGUUUGAUGGGGAUUGGACACAGCAGUUUCCUUCCCCGGGGAAAUUGGCACGUGUCUCCAAAGGUAUAAAGGAUUGGAAACAACGCCUUUGGGAGAAGAGCUAGUAGGAGCUGGAAUUGGGUUUGCAGGAAAGGUAUUUAUUUGACUAAUUUUUUUUGAGAUGGAGUCUCGCUCUAUUGCCCAGGCUGAAGUGCAAUGGCACCAUCUCAUCUCACUGUAACCUCUGCCUCCUGGGUUCAAGCAAUUCUCCUGCCUCAGCCUCCCUAGAAGCUAGGAUUACAGGCACAUACCUGUACACCCAGCAACUUUAGUAUUUUUAGUAGAGACAGGGUUUCACCAUGUUGGCCAGGCUGGUCUUGAACUCCUGACCUCGGGUGAUCUGCCUGCCUCAGCCUCCCAAUGUGCUGAGAUUACAGGAGUGAGCUACUGUGCCCUGCAGGAAAGAAGUUUAGAAUGGGCUUUCCUUCAGGAUAGAAAGGGUUAGUGUGGGUUGCUGAAUGUUUGUUCUUUAUGUCUGUGGAAGGCUGAGCAGGGGAAAUUGGGAUUAAAGGAAGGGAGGGGAGAUUACAGCUGGCAUGAAGUCAAACUCCAUGUGCCAGGAAUGGGACAGCAGUGGGGGCUGCCAGGGAUGGUAGGGGAAGGUAAGACAUAGAUUGCCUUUUCACUUCAGCAGUCUCCUAGGUCGGGCCCUUUGGGAUCUUGGUGCCCCCAUUGUAAAGCCCUUUCAAAGGGGCCAGUGCACUUCCUCUUUAGCAGGGACCCACACUAACGCCAAGAUAUGCCCACACAUAGUACAUAAAAGAGAUGUGGUUUUCUGUACGGAACACAACAAACAGGGUAGAACUGAUACAACAUUCCCUUUGCAUCCUUGGGGACCCUGUAAUCUGGGGUGGCCACUAGCAUUUCUUCGCUCUUUCUGGGCACCACCUGAUGUUAAUUUGUAGCAUUUAAUUAUAGAAAGGGAUCCCUUCCCAGCAUUCAUCCUGAGAGAGUAAAUUCAGCAGGUUGCUUCUUAGGGAGAAAUUGCACCGGCCCCAAUUCCUACUGAAGACUUGGCUGCCCAUUUUUUGAUCUGAGUUGAGGGUAAUUUAUUUGUCAAAAUUACUUUAACAGGUUUAAAGCUUUGGAGAUCAAGUGCAGAGGGCAAGAAGCCCGAGGGCCACGUUCUUCCCAUCUUCAAUCUCAUGCACUUUAACCAGCUUGUUAUUUCACCCCCAGGGGUAAAGCAGCAAGCCCCCUUUGGGGGAAUAAAAAACUAACAAUCAUAUAGUUACUUGAUAUUGUUUCCAGGCAUCAAAGCUUUAACAUUUAAUCCAUUUAUAUUCUUUUUGGAGAUAAGAGUUUCACUCUUGUUGCCUAGGCUGGAGUGCAAUGGCGCCAUCCUGGUUCACUUGGGAGGCAACCUCCGCCUCCCAAGUUCAAGCGAUUCUUCUGCCUCAGCCUCCCAAGUAGCUGGGAUUAUAGGCAUGCGUCACCACGCCCAGCUAAUUUUUGUAUUUUUAGUAGAGACGGGGUUUUACCAUGUUGGUCAGGCUGGUCUCGAACUCCUGACCUCAGGUGAUCCACCCAUUUCGGCCUCCCAAAGUGCUAGGAUUAUAGGCGUGAACCACUGCACCCGGCCUAUUCAUUCAUAUUCUUUAGAUUCAUUAUGACUAGGAAAAACUGAGGACAAGUGACUCAUCCAAAAUCACCCAGUGGCAAAGCAGGAAGAUCCAGGCUUCUUUGAACAACAUAACUUCCGGGUCCCUUGGAUGGUAUUGCUGGAGGAUGGGGCAGUCAGUGGAUGUGGCCAAGUCAAGUGAUUCUGGUGGGAUGGGUGGGUUUGGGGAGGGGACUCACCCCAUCCAUUAGAUGGGUUCACGUCACGUGAGGGCUCUGCUCACUGGUCUCAGAAUCUAAAUGCAUCAAAUUCUGGGACUGCCCCUUUCGUUGGGAGAUAGCCCCUUAAUCAAUUUCCUACUCCUCCCUCCAUGCCCUGAACCCUUUCUAACCAGAACAAUUACUGGGCUUCCACACGUUUCAGGUACAUGGGCGUGGACCCUUAAUUAUGGACACUUGAGGGAUUAAUGUGGGCCAGGGACAUGUUUCUUGGCCUCGAGGGUCUUCAGUGAAAGAGGUGGAGAUCUAAGGUUGACAUACUUGCGCAGGGAAGAGAACGGACAGACCUGGCCCAUCACACACAGGCAUACACACGCACGACCAAAAACGUCAUCAUAAAAAAGGGGAAGGGGGGACUUUUGUGGCUGAGGGACUCCCUCAGAGAGCUUGUGCCUAGUUCCUGCAGCCUUUCCAGGGGAACCCCAGAGAAAAAAACCCCCACAGCGACGGCCAUGUUCCAGUGGUUUCAUGCACCCGUUAGUUGCCCUUGUCAGCAAGAGAGGGGGCAGGAACAGAGUUUUGUAAGAGCCACUGCAGAUUAGAAAAGCAUCACAUUGCAGCAGGAAAACUCUGAAAUCAACCCAGGAGGGCCGAGGAAACCACUGAGGGGCGAGAACCCGGACGAAGGAAACCAGGGCACAGCGACAAGGACGGGAGGCAGAGCGAGGGCCACGCGGGGUCCCAGAGGAAAGGUUCAGCAGUGUCAGUCUGCGCUUACAAAACCUGCAGUC